Molecule: ribosomal RNA, 492 nt
Filed under: uncultured bacterium
Lineage: Bacteria
Description: partial 16S ribosomal RNA
Rfam family: Bacterial small subunit ribosomal RNA
Source: RNAcentral
AGUGAACGCUGGCGGUAGGCCUAACACAUGCAAGUCGAACGGCAGCACAGUAAGAGCUUGCUCUUACGGGUGGCGAGUGGCGGACGGGUGAGGAAUACAUCGGAAUCUACUUUUUCGUGGGGGAUAACGUAGGGAAACUUACGCUAAUACCGCAUACGACCUACGGGUGAAAGCAGGGGAUCUUCGGACCUUGCGCGAUUGAACGAGCCGAUGUCGGAUUAGCUAGUUGGCGGGGUAAAGGCCCACCAAGGCGACGAUCCGUAGCUGGUCUGAGAGGAUGAUCAGGCAGACUGGAACUGAGACACGGUCCAGACUCCUACGGGAGGAAGCAGUGGGGAAUAUUGGACAAUGGGCGAAAGCCUGAUCCAGCCAUACCGCGUGAGUGAAGAAGGCCUUCGGGUUGUAAAGCCCUUUUGUUGGGAAAGAAAAGCAGCAGGUUAAUACCCCGCUGUUCUGACGGUACCCAAAGAAUAAGCACCGGCUAACUUCGUG